Molecule: ribosomal RNA, 440 nt
Filed under: uncultured bacterium
Lineage: Bacteria
Description: partial 16S ribosomal RNA
Rfam family: Bacterial small subunit ribosomal RNA
Source: RNAcentral
CCUACGGGAGGCAGCAGUGGGGAAUAUUGCACAAUGGGGGAAACCCUGAUGCAGCGACGCCGCGUGAGUGAAGAAGUACUUCGGUACGUAAAGCUCUAUCAGCAGGGAAGAAAAUGACCGUACCUGAAUAAGAAGCCCCGGCUAACUACGUGCCAGCAGCCGCGUUUAUACGUAGGGGGCAAGCGUUAUCCGGAUUUACUGGGGGUAAAGGGGGCGUUGACGGCCUCGCAAGUCCGGAGUGAAAUCCCCGGGCGCAACCAUGGAAUUGCAUUGGAAACUGUGCAGCUAGAGGUCGGGAGAGGCAGGCGGAAUUCCUGGUGUAGCGGUGAAAUGCGUAGAUAUUAGGAGGAACACCGGUGGCGAAGGCGGCUUGCUGGACUGUAACUGACGUUGAGGCUCGAAAGCGUGGGGAGCGAACAGGAUUAGAUACCCGUGUAGUC